UAAUACAGAGGUCCCAAGCGUUGUUCGGAUUCACUGGGCGUAAAGGGUGCGUAGGUGGUCGGGUAAGUCUGAUGUGAAAUCUCCAAGCUCAACUUGGAAACUGCAUCGGAUACUAUUCGGCUUGAGGGUUGGAGGGGGGACUGGAAUGCUUGGUGUAGCAGUGAAAUGCGUAGAUAUCAAGCGGAACACCAGUGGCGAAGGCGAGUCCCUGGACAACUCCUGACACUGAGGCACGAAAGCUAGGGGAGCAAACAGGAUUAGAUACCCUGGUAGUCCUAGCCGUAAACGGUGCACGUUUGCUGUAAAAGGAAUCGACCCCUUUUGUGGCGAAGCUAACGCGUUAAACGUGCCGCCUGGGAAGUACGGUCGCAAGAUUA
RNAcentral lists this ribosomal RNA (377 nucleotides) under uncultured bacterium. RNAcentral describes it as "bacterial SSU rRNA". It matches the Rfam family "Bacterial small subunit ribosomal RNA", at positions 521 to 896 of the family's 1533-position model. The record is from RNAcentral.